RNAcentral lists this ribosomal RNA (470 nucleotides) under Staphylococcus pseudintermedius. RNAcentral's name for it is "bacterial SSU rRNA". It matches the Rfam family "Bacterial small subunit ribosomal RNA", at positions 1 to 460 of the family's 1533-position model. The record is from RNAcentral. Lineage: Bacteria; Bacillati; Bacillota; Bacilli; Caryophanales; Staphylococcaceae.
UUUAUGGAGAGUUUGAUCCUGGCUCAGGAUGAACGCUGGCGGCGUGCCUAAUACAUGCAAGUCGAGCGAACAGAUAAGGAGCUUGCUCCUUUGACGUUAGCGGCGGACGGGUGAGUAACACGUGGGUAACCUACCUAUAAGACUGGAAUAACUCCGGGAAACCGGGGCUAAUGCCGGAUAACAUGUUGAACCGCAUGGUUCUACAGUGAAAGACGGUCUUGCUGUCACUUAUAGAUGGACCCGCGCCGUAUUAGCUAGUUGGUGGGGUAACGGCUUACCAAGGCGACGAUACGUAGCCGACCUGAGAGGGUGAUCGGCCACACUGGAACUGAGACACGGUCCAGACUCCUACGGGAGGCAGCAGUAGGGAAUCUUCCGCAAUGGGCGAAAGCCUGACGGAGCAACGCCGCGUGAGUGAUGAAGGUCUUCGGAUCGUAAAGCUCUGUUGUUAGGGAAGAACAAAUGCGUAA